RNAcentral lists this ribosomal RNA (370 nucleotides) under uncultured bacterium. RNAcentral's name for it is "partial 16S ribosomal RNA". It matches the Rfam family "Bacterial small subunit ribosomal RNA", at positions 338 to 722 of the family's 1533-position model. The record is from RNAcentral.
CCUACGGGAGGCUGCAGUGGGGAAUAUUGGGCAAUGGAGGCAACUCUGAACCAGUAACGCCACGUGAGUGAUUAAGGUCCUCGGAUUGUAAAACCCCUUAAGUGGGGACGCAGUAAGCGACUGUACCCACAGGAUAAGCCUCGGCCAACUACGGGGCAGCAGCCGGCUGAAUACGGGGGGGGCAAGCGGUAUGCGGAAUGACUGGGUGGAAAGGGUGCGUUGGUUGUUCGACAAGUUAGUAGCGUAAUUCCGGGGCUCAACUUCGGUACUACUACUAAAACUGUUGGGCUUGAGUGCAGGAGAGGUGAGUGGAAUGCGUGGUGUAGCGGUGAAAUGCGUAGAUAUUAGGAAGAACACCAGCUGCGAAGGC